UAGGGAAUUUUCGUCAAUGGGCGCAAGCCUGAACGAGCAAUGCCGCGUGAACGAGGAAGGUCUUCGGAUCGUAAAAGUUCUGUUGAAGGGGAAAAAGAGCGGAGAGAGGAAAUGGUCUCCGAUUGAUAUUACCCUUCGAGGAAGUCACGGCUAACUACGUGCC
Molecule: ribosomal RNA, 163 nt
Filed under: uncultured bacterium
Lineage: Bacteria
Description: partial 16S ribosomal RNA
Rfam family: Bacterial small subunit ribosomal RNA
Source: RNAcentral